This 86-nucleotide transfer RNA is filed under the name Tremellales sp. Tagirdzhanova-0007. It matches the Rfam family "tRNA". From Rfam's summary of the family: Transfer RNA (tRNA) molecules are approximately 80 nucleotides in length. Their secondary structure includes four short double-helical elements and three loops (D, anti-codon, and T loops). Lineage: Eukaryota; Fungi; Basidiomycota; Tremellomycetes; Tremellales. The record is from Rfam by way of RNAcentral.
GCCCGCGUGGUGCAGUCGUUAGCAUGCCUGUUUCCGAAGCUUUGUCAUGACACAGGUGGUCCCGGGUUCAAUUCCCGGUGUGGGUU